This is a long non-coding RNA of Lonchura striata (white-rumped munia), 1691 nucleotides long. The record is from Ensembl. NCBI's taxonomy places the organism in Eukaryota, Metazoa, Chordata, Aves, Passeriformes, Estrildidae.
ACAGGAUGACAAACAUGGCAGGAACCAGUGCAGAAACAGAGAAGGAGGCCUUUAGGGGUUUUGGGGCAAGUUCUAGAACAAGAAGCUACAGUGCAUGGCCAGAGGAAAAGUUCAUGGUAAGGUCACCUUUAAUAUGGCAGCAUUCAUUGAAUAUGACCACCAGAGAGACCCCUCUUAAUAAACCUCUAGGAUCAUAAAAGGAUUUCCAGGAUGAGGUGGAUUCAAGGAAAUGAGUUCUAUGAAAAUGGUGUUUAUGUAUUAGAUAAGCAACACUUUUCCAAUGCCUACGUGUGGUUAUAAUGUAUUAAUACCCUGUUGUCUCACCAUGCACACAAAACAAGAAGUGAUCCUUCUGUCUUGUGCAGGUAAAGAAUUUCUACUGCCAAAUGCUUUUCACUGUGUUAUAAAGUUUGUUCAGGCCCAGUUCAGAAUUAGGAUACAGCUGGGAUGCACAGGAGAAGAGAGAGGAGCUGGGGAGGGCACUGGGGUCACUGGGAGAGGGUGGCAGGAACAGAGCAGCUGCUGGAGGAGAGGAAGGUGGGGUAGGGAGGAAGGAAAACAUUCCGCUGACCUGUUCCCUGUGGGGCAGCAGCAGGCAAAGGGGUCUGUGCAGAUCAGCAGUGCUUCCUGGAACCUCUUUCUCUUUUGUUAUCCAUGUUCUAAAGCAGAUCCUGCCAGGUCAGUGACAUGAAGGAGAAAGUAUCCAGAUCACCAGGAGCUCCUCACUCCCAUCCCUCUGGCUCCUCUCUGUGCCCUGUCCUGAUCUUGCUCCCCAACGCUGGGUGGACACAUGAGGUAGUGGGUGAGUGAAAAGCUGUAACUUUGCCUGCUUCAGAAAUUCAGUUCCUCUGAGUUAUUUCUCUUGGGUGUGAAUUUUUUUUCUUCAGAGGAAGUGGCUUUUGUCAGGUGCUCUAAAUGAAGAUUUUUGUGGUUGGCUCCUCUUUCCCUCCUGAUGAGAAACCCUCCUUCUCUGCAGAAUGUCCCAUUCUCCAACUGCCUUCCCUCUCUUGACAGGUUUCUACCAUUCCUCUUUUCUCUUCCCUGAGUGAUCACUGUCCCUGCAGCAGUAGAGGGAUGUUGGUGGUGCUGGUGGCACUGGACUGCUGCCAGUGCUGGAUGUGUAGGUGAGGCAGCUGGGUGCUUCUGAGAAACAGCUCCUGUUCCAGGAAGUGCUUUGAGAUCAUUGCCUAAACAUGCUCUGGGCUGAGGAAGCAGCUGAGCUGCUGAGGAAGGUGAGCUGCUUCCUCCUCAUAUCCCCAUCCCAUCCUCAUCCUCAUCCCCAUCCCCACUCUCCAUCCUCACCCCAUCCUAUCACAUCCCUCAGGUUUCCCAGAUGGAGCUGCUCCCACAGUCCAAGCACAGCCUGUCAGGCUGUGCUCUCCUCCAGUGGGGAGAAUGUGGGUUGCCGGCAUCCAGAGCCCCUCCAACCAGCUCCAACCCUCUUCUGAAUCCUGUGAAACCUCCUGCAACACCGCAGACUGUCCCUGGGGCCCCCUCUCCCACCCCAACAGCCCCACUCCUCCCCUCUUCCACCAGGGAGCACAGCAGUGUCCCUGCUCCUCCUGGCCAUAGUGUUCUAGGACCCAGGAUAGAGGAGGAAAGCUCAGGUCCCCUGUGCUCCUCAGGAUCUCUCAGGAUGAUAAAUGCGGCAGGAGCCUACUGUAAAUGCAGGGGAAAACAAUGGGAAGAAA